AUUUCUAGCCCAACCACCCACACAUAUAACCAAACACACCAUUAAAACAAAACAUUCACCACACUUAAAGUAUAGGAGAUAGAAAUAUAUCUUAGGAGCUAUAGAGAUAGUACCGUAAGGGAAAGAUGAAAGAUCGAUUGACAGCACUAAAAAGCAAAGAUUCACCCUUGUACCUUUUGCAUAAUGAAUUAGCUAGAAAUCAUUUGGCAAAAAGAAUUUUAGUCAAAGACCCCGAAACUAGACGAGCUAUCUGCGAGCAGCUCUUAAGAACGAACCCAUCUAUGUGGCAAAAUAGUGGGACGACUUGCAGAUAGAGGUGAAAAGCCAAACGAGCCUAGUGAUAGCUGGUUGUCCAAACAAGAAUUUUAGUUCAACUUUAUGCCUACCAACAGAAACUCUAAUCAAAAUGUAAGCAUAAAAUCUAAUCUAAGAGGGGACAGCCCCUUAGAGCCAGGAUACAGCCUGAAUUGGAGAGUAAGUUUCACCUACUACCAUAGUUGGCCUAAAAGCAGCCAUCAAUUAAGAAAGCGUUAAAGCUCAACAUCAACCCGAAAACCAAAUCCCACAUAUAACUACAAACUCCCAAAACACUAAUACUGGACCAAUCUAUAAACUUAUAGAAGAAACACUGCUAAUAUGAGUAACAAGAACCCACCUUCUCCUCAGGCACAAGCUUAUAUCAGAUCGAAUACUCACUGAUAGUUAACAAUGAUACGUAAACACCCCACACCUAAAAACUUACGUAAUUUCUACUGUUGACCCGACACAGGAGUGCAUUCAAGGAAAGAUUAAAAGGAGNGGAAGGAACUCGGCAAA
Molecule: ribosomal RNA, 816 nt
Filed under: Ochotona hyperborea (northern pika)
Lineage: Eukaryota; Metazoa; Chordata; Mammalia; Lagomorpha; Ochotonidae
Description: partial 16S ribosomal RNA
Rfam family: Bacterial large subunit ribosomal RNA (bases 152-816)
Source: RNAcentral